AGAGUUGGUAUGAAUUGCUCAAAGUUUAACAACAAAUUACUGUUGUUUAUGAGACUUGAAUGCUAGGCUACCAACCUCCAAGUCUUCUGCUUUAAGAUGCUUCUGGCAUGUGGAUGUCAUAGAGAGAGCAAAAUUCCUGGGCAAAUCAGACACAACUGGAAUCGUUUGCUGGCUUUCAGUUUGAGUUAAAUUAAUUUCUUGAACUUAAUUCCCUUGUUUAUAAAUCAGGAAUAAUAACUGAACCAUGGUUUCUGGUUAAAUGAUAUAGUAAACCACCAAGUACAUAAUAAGCACCCAUUAAAUGUUAGUUCUUUUCUUCUAGGUUAGCUUUCUAGUCUCAGUCUUUGAUAGUUUAAAAGUCCAACCCAGGAAGCCAGGCAUUGAUUAUUGAAGCCAACACUUUGUGCUCUCCACUAUGUGAAUAUAAAAGAAGCAUAAGGUAAUCCCUACUUUGAUUUUAUUUUUCUAUGCUUUAGUCCUGUUUUAAAGUAUUUACUCAUUAUUUCAUGUGUAUAAGUUUCUUCUAACAAUAUUAGAAGUAUUUUUAGGUUAGGGGACCACAUCUUGAUAUUUUUAUAUUUCUCCUUACACCCAUCAAACUGUAUACUCAUGGUAUCGAUUACUUUGCUAGUGGAAAAAGAACACUGAAUUGGACCAGUAGGUCCUGACUCUAUCACUGACUUUGGUAACUAUACUGGGUAUUUUGUUUGCCCUUUCAGAUCGACUCUUCAUUUUGUUCUAUAAACCAAAUCCAGCAACAUAAGAGAGAUUAUACACUAUGAUCAAGUAGAAUUUAUGCGAGGAAUGCAAGGCUGGUUUAGCGUCCAAAAAUAAAUCAAUGUAAUAUACCAUAUUGAUAAAAUAAAGCAUAAAAAUCACAUGAUCCUCUCAACACAGAAAAAGCAUUUGACAAAAAUCUAACACCCUUUAUAAAAACACUCAGCAAACUUGGAAUAGAAAGGAGCUUCCUCAACCUGAUAAAGAGCGUCUACAAUAAAACAAAACACACAGCUUACAUCAUACUUGAUACUUUCUCACUAAGAUCAGGAACAAGACAAGAUUUACACUCUUACCAAUUCUAGUCAACUUUGUACUGGAGGUUCUAGCCAGGGCAAUUAGGUAAGAAAAAGAAAUAAAAAUCAUCCAGAUUGGAAAAGAAGAAAUAAAAUGCUAUUUGCAGUUGACAUGACUUGUAUAUAGAAAAUUCUAAGGAAUCCACAAAAAAAACUAAAGUUCAGCAAAGUUGUAGGAUAUAAAAUCAACAUGCAAAAUCGACUGCAGUGCUAUCACUAGCAAGUAACAAUCCUUAAAUGAGUUAAAAAAACAAUUCCAUUGAUAAUAGCAACAAAAAGGUUAAAAUGCUAAGGAAUGAAUUUAACCAAAGAAGUGCAAGACUGUACACUGAAAACUGCAAAGCAUUGUUGAAAGAAAUUUAAAAAGACCUAACAAUAAAUACAUAAAUAAAAAGACAUCUCAGGUUCAUAGAUUGGAAGACUUAAUAUUAUUAAGAUAGCAGUAUUCUCCAAUUGGUCUACAGAUUCAAUGCAAUCACUAUCAAAAUCCCAAUUGUCUUUUUUGCAGAAAUUGACAAGAUGACCCUAAAGUUCAUCUGGAAAUGCAAGGGACCCAGAAUAGCCAAACAAUCUUGAAAAAGAACAAAGUUGGAGGACUCACAUUUCUCGAUUUCAAAACAUAGUAGAAAACUACAGUAAUCAAGACAAUGUGGUAUUGGCAUAAAGCAAGUAUACAGUGGAGUUUUCCAGAGACUACAUAUUGUGUGAUAUCACAACAGAUUGAAUGAAGAAACAGACGUAAGAAUCCAGAUGUCUUCUAUU
Equus asinus (donkey) is the source of this 1835-nucleotide long non-coding RNA. The record is from Ensembl. Lineage: Eukaryota; Metazoa; Chordata; Mammalia; Perissodactyla; Equidae.